CCAGACUCCUACGGGAGGCAGCAGUGGGGAAUAUUGCACAAUGGGGGAAACCCUGAUGCAGCAACGCCGCGUGAGUGAAGAAGUCAUUCGUGAUGUAAAGCUCUCUCAGCAGGGAAGAAAAUGACGGUACCUGAGUAAGAAGCCCCGGCUAACUACGUGCCAGCAGCCGCGGUAAUACGUAGGGGGCAAGCGUUAUCCGGAUUUACUGGGUGUACAGGGAGCGUAGACGGUAUGGCAAGUCUGAAGUGAAAGCCCAGGGCUUAACCCUGGGACUGCUUUGGAAACUGUUAGACUAGAGUGCUGGAGAGGUAAGUGGAAUUCCUAGUGUAGCGGUGAAAUGCGUAGAUAUUAGGAGGAACACCAGUGGCGAAGGCGGCUUACUGGACAGUAACUGACGUUGAGGCUCGAAAGCGUGGGGAGCAAACAGGAUUAGAUACCCUGGUAC
RNAcentral lists this ribosomal RNA (445 nucleotides) under uncultured bacterium. Its description in RNAcentral is "bacterial SSU rRNA". It matches the Rfam family "Bacterial small subunit ribosomal RNA", at positions 331 to 793 of the family's 1533-position model. The record is from RNAcentral.